CCUACGUGUGGCUGCAGUGGGGAAUAUUGCACAAUGGGGGAAACCCUGAUGCAGCGACGUCGCGUGAGUGAUGAAGUAUUUCGGUAUGUAAAGCUCUAUCAGCAGGGAAGAAAAUGACGGUACCUGACUAAGCAGCCCCGGCUAACUACGUGCCAGCAGCCGCGGUAAUACGUAGGGGUCAAGCGUUAUCCGGAUUUACUGGGUGUAAAGGGAGCGUAGACGGCGGUGCAAGCCAGAUGUGAAAGCCCGGGGCUCAACCCCGGGACUGCAUUUGGAACUGUGCUGCUAGAGUGUCGGAGAGGCAGGCGGAAUUCCUAGUGUAGCGGUGAAAUGCGUAGAUAUUAGGAGGAACACCAGUGGCGAAGGCGGCCUGCUGGACGAUGACUGACGUUGAGGCUCGAAAGCGUGGGUAGCAAACAGGAUUAGAUACCCGGGUAGUC
Molecule: ribosomal RNA, 440 nt
Filed under: uncultured bacterium
Lineage: Bacteria
Description: partial 16S ribosomal RNA
Rfam family: Bacterial small subunit ribosomal RNA
Source: RNAcentral